GACGAACGCUGGCGGCGUGCCUAAUACAUGCAAGUUGAGCGCUGAAGGUUGGUACUUGUACCAACUGGAUGAGCAGCGAACGGGUGAGUAACGCGUGGGGAAUCUGCCUUUGAGCGGGGGACAACAUUUGGAAACGAAUGCUAAUACCGCAUAAAAACUUUAAACACAAGUUUUAAGUUUGAAAGAUGCAAUUGCACCACUCAAAGAUGAUCCCGCGUUGUAUUAGCUAGUUGGUGAGGUAAAGGCUCACCAAGGCGAUGAUACAUAGCCGACCUGAGAGGGUGAUCGGCCACAUUGGGACUGGGACACGGCCCAAACUCCUACGGGAGGCAGCAGUAGGGAAUCUUCGGCAAUGGACGAAAGUCUGACCGAGCAACGCCGCGUGAGUGAAGAAGGUUUUCGGAUCGUAAAACUCUGUUGGUAGAGAAGAACGUUGGUGAGAGUGGAAAGCUCAUCAAGUGACGGUAACUACCCAGAAAGGGACGGCUAACUACGUG
RNAcentral lists this ribosomal RNA (497 nucleotides) under uncultured bacterium. RNAcentral describes it as "partial 16S ribosomal RNA". It matches the Rfam family "Bacterial small subunit ribosomal RNA", at positions 28 to 507 of the family's 1533-position model. The record is from RNAcentral.